UACGUAGGGGGCUAGCGUUGUCCGGAAUCAUUGGGCGUAAAGCGCGUGUAGGCGGCCCGGUAAGUCCGCCGUGAAAGUCGGGGGCUCAACCCUCGGAAGCCGGUGGAUACUGUCGGGCUCGAGUACGGAAGAGGCGAGUGGAAUUCCUGGUGUAGCGGUGAAAUGCGCAGAUAUCAGGAGGAACACCAAUUGCGAAGGCAGCUCGCUGGGACGUAACUGACGCUGAGACGCGAAAGCGUGGGGAGCAAACAGG
RNAcentral lists this ribosomal RNA (253 nucleotides) under uncultured bacterium. RNAcentral's name for it is "partial 16S ribosomal RNA". It matches the Rfam family "Bacterial small subunit ribosomal RNA", at positions 524 to 776 of the family's 1533-position model. The record is from RNAcentral.